UACGUAGGGGGCAAGCGUUAUCCGGAUUUACUGGGUGUAAAGGGAGCGUAGACGGCAUGGCAAGUCUGGAGUGAAAACCCAGGGCUCAACCUUGGGAUUGCUUUGGAAACUGUCAAGCUGGAGUGCCGGAGAGGUAAGCGGAAUUCCUAGUGUAGCGGUGAAAUGCGUAGAUAUUAGGAGGAACACCAGUGGCGAAGGCGGCUUACUGGA
This 210-nucleotide ribosomal RNA is filed under the name uncultured bacterium. RNAcentral's name for it is "partial 16S ribosomal RNA". It matches the Rfam family "Bacterial small subunit ribosomal RNA", at positions 524 to 733 of the family's 1533-position model. The record is from RNAcentral.